Molecule: ribosomal RNA, 111 nt
Organism: Esox lucius (northern pike)
Lineage: Eukaryota; Metazoa; Chordata; Actinopteri; Esociformes; Esocidae
Source: Ensembl
GCUUACGGCCACACCUCCCUCAGCACGCCCGAUCUCGGAAGUUUAGCAGGGUCUGGCCUGGGUAGUACUUGGAUGGGAGACCGCCUGGGAAUACCAGGUGUGCUGUAAGCC